This 74-nucleotide transfer RNA is filed under the name Pteropus alecto (black flying fox). It matches the Rfam family "tRNA". Rfam says of the family: Transfer RNA (tRNA) molecules are approximately 80 nucleotides in length. The record is from Rfam by way of RNAcentral. Lineage: Eukaryota; Metazoa; Chordata; Mammalia; Chiroptera; Pteropodidae.
GGCUCCAUAGUGUAGUGGUUAGCACAUCUGCUUUACACGCAGAAGGUCCUGGGUUCGCGCCUCAGGUGGAGCCA